This 294-nucleotide long non-coding RNA is filed under the name Sorghum bicolor (sorghum). RNAcentral describes it as "long non-coding RNA (SBIC_LNC014175)". Lineage: Eukaryota; Viridiplantae; Streptophyta; Magnoliopsida; Poales; Poaceae. The record is from RNAcentral.
UGAUAUCUGGCAGAGUUGAGGAGGGCCAUGUCUCGAGCCUCCUCGAGUUGGUCGACCGCGUUUUCUUGAGUCUCCUUAUUUGAUUGCUCGUUGUACGCUUUGAGUCGAGGGGACCCAUACUCGAGGUCUGUGGGGAGGACAGCCUCAGAGCCAUAGACCAUGAAGAAUGGGGUGUAUUUCGUGGCCCUGCUUGGUGUUGUCCUUAGGCUCCAUAGGACCGAGGAAAGCUCCUCGACCCACUUCCUGCCGAAUUUCUUCAAACGAUUGUAGAUCCUUGGCUUGAGUCCUUGUAAA